GGCUCAUAUCACAGUAUGCUGUCACUCAAUGAAGAGACAACAAAAGAAAACAGAUUAAAGUCAAGAAACUUGGGGAAAUGACAUCAAACUAAGAGAGUAUUCUCUAAGCUGGCUAUACUUUGAGUGUCAACCUGGAACAUACCCGUGGAGAGCAAAACUAAGAAACAGCAACAGGUAAAUGAUGGAAAAGCUUACACUCAAAGGAGCAUGGACUUAUGGCUGGAUGAUGUGGACAGUGGUCCACAGGACUUUCCCAUCUGCAUGAGCAAUAUGCCUGCAGCCUGAGACUGAAGUCCCCUACAGAGAUCCACUACUGAGAUGAGUUACCUUCACCUCCUCCUUCAUUUAUGUACAACGUAUGUGCUGAGUUUCCAGUACGCUGACUCAUCUCCAUUAGGGCACAUGGCCCAUCCCAUACCAGCUUUCCUGUACUUGUGUUUGUGAUUUUUCAUAUCUGUCACCCCAGUCAGGUCAAUCCCAAAGUCAUAGCAAUGAGUUUGCUUCUCAUAAACAUUCUGAUCAUCUUACCCAUUCUCAGUUUUAAGCAAUCCUUUUGUUUCUUCACAUUAUUACAAUUUCUUCUUACAUUAAUUUUAUUGUUCAUUGUCUGGUAUAAGCUAUAGAUAUUGCAGUGAAACCAUCAAUAGUAAUAAUAAGGAAAUCAAAUAUUUUUAGCCAAAAUCUAAAGUUCUAGCUAGAUGGUUGAGCAGUUGAGAGUGAUGGCUGCUCUGGAGGACCAGAAUUCGUUUCCCAAGUAUCCACACGUUGGCUGCUUCACAACCAUCCUGUCCUGAUAAGUUUUGUGCCAUCUUGACACAAGGUGGAGUUAUCUUGGAGGAGAUUAUUAUCUGAGGUAAUGCCACCAUCAGAUUGCCAGCAGGCAUGCCUGCUGAGCAUUUUCUUGAUUGAUGAUGGAUGUGGAAGGGCCUAACCUAUCACACAGACCUGUGUUUUUACUUAUUUCACUCAAAUUCCCUUAGACUGUUGUAUUUAGCUCAGAGCCACAUAAAUUGUUUUUGUUUUGAGUCAGAAAUAACAACUGUACAGAUAUCUGGGGCUGUCACAAUAAUUUAGCAGGUAAAAGCCCUUGCCACACAUUUCUAACAACCUGUGUUUAGACCUCAGAACCCAAGGUGGAAGAAGAGAAUUGACUCCUGAAAGUUGUUCUUUGACCGCCAUCUAUAUCCUUUUGCAUGGAUACACACCUGCAUGCAUGCACACACUCAGAAUAAUCAUUAUAUGGGAAUUUGAAAAAGGAGAAAGUUGAACAUAUAUGUUUUAUAUAACAUAUUAACUUUGUAUGUUACUAUGUAGAUGCAAUUUACAAAUACUUUACUUCGGAAACAUCAUUUUGUAGUGAAAACACUUAAAAUAUUUUCUGUAAGCUAUUUGUCUGAAGUUUUGAGCCCAUGAAUAAAUAAAUACCUUUUAAAAUACAACAGUAGGAAGAAGCAAAAUAAUGUGUGAAUCAGGGCUUUGCCAAAGUAUUUCACACGAUGUUUCUCUCAAAUAUACCUGCAGACUCUAUAAAUAAUGAAUAUUCCCAUAUGUAGGAAAAUUUUUGUAUUUAUUAUUUAUUUAUUGGCAUAAAGGUGACAUCAAGUUUGUAAGAUGCUAUGCUCUGGAGAAGCUGGUGGGAAAGACUGAAAGAACAGUGUUAUAAUUAUGUAAAUCUUGGCAGAACUUCCUUUCAAGUUUCUCAGGCAAUAUUUUUUCUUGGACAGAUGGUACCAAAACUAGAGUUAUUUCUCUUCCUGGAGUCAUUGCUCUCCUGCUCAAUUGUUCCAAUAAGGUCCUGCUUUUUACCUGUGUGCUUGGAUGAUAUACUCUGUCCUCCAUUGCAUUGCAAUGUCACUACAACCCGUGGCUGUAAGAAAGAUGCACAUACGUACAGAUCCCUCAAAGAAUUUUUGUGUAUAUUUCUAUUUUAACCCAUGUAAAUAUAUUUCGAUUCUCUCUCGUUUUUAAUUUGGCACUUUUAUCUUUAAAUCUACUUAUGUUGUUUUUUCUUUAUACUUCAAACUUCAUAAUAUCCUGUUACUGAAAUCCAUCCACUGAAUUCUGCUCAAUCACAGCAAUUAUGGGAGGGCCAUCCAGAGGUUUCCCCAGUUCUCUGCUGCUGCAAACAUUGAUCUAAUCAGUUCCUAUCAUGGACUUGUAGACAAAAAUGUGGAUUUCAUUUCUAGAUAGAAAGCAGAUCUAGAUAGCAAAAUCCUAGAUCUGAUUAUGAGUGGAAAGGGAUAAAUUGUAGCGUGGGAUCUGUUAUGAAGGGCACUUGGAGGAUAGACUACAAUAUAAAAUGAGCAACUUAACCAAAGAAAAAAAUCACAGUUAUUAAAAACUGGAUAUGAGGUGACUGUUCUAAGUGUAGAAAACAGAGUGUAGCACACAACUCUAGAAGAGAGAAAGGGAGGAGAGUGUAGAGAUAGGUCACAGUUUUCAAUAAGGAAGAAAUGGGGUUUACCAAGUCUGGUCAACAGUGGCUGUUACAUAGAAACUGCUUGAAUCCUAGAGCAUAUGUGGGACAUUUUCCUUAGAGGUUGAAGUACACCCAUCGUGCAACAAAUUAUUGGAGCAUGACUUCUAAAAUGAGAAAUUCUUUAGGGAUUUCCCCAAAGCCCCCUGUUGUAGUUAGAGGCAAUAAAGAACAAACUACACCACAUUGAAGGUUUAUUGGUAGGUGGAGGACUUCGGAGGGUGCCUCCGAAGGAGAAGUGAUGGAGAAAGGAAGAGGGUAAGGACUGAGCUGGCAUUUAAAGGGGGUUUAGCGCAUGUGCAUGCGCAUAGACUGUUAAGCAGUAACACAGCCUUAGGAUCCUGGGCUGGCCAGGUGUCUGCCUGAAUGCUGACAAAGCAUGGGCACAGAGGGUGUUCUUAGUGGCUACAGCUGAGGGCCCUGGGGGCAGACUAGCAUGAUGCCUGAAUGCUAAUAAGCACAUUUGUGUAGGAGUGCUUAUGGUUGAUGAUGUCUCUGCCAGGUCCCCAAAGGCAGGCUAGCAUAAUGCCUGAAUGCUAACACCCCUGUCAUUAGUUGAGGGAAUACCUGAAAGAAGUUUCUCUCCUUUUCAUAAUCUUGCCCCUAUAUCUACUUUUAAAUGGUUAAAGUGCAUCAAUAAUUAAAAGAUGUGAGCUAGUUUGCCAAGAGUUUUACACUGGGUUAUCAAACAUUAGUGAUGCUAAAUUAAAAACUCCACCUCAGCAAUAUGGAGAAGUAAGCAUAUGAUUAAUGUAGACGUCAAUUUAGUCACUCUAACUAUGAGCUGGUAGAGGGACAUGAACCCAAGUGAGAAGAGAAAUUAAACCAAAUGUUAGCCAUUGAGAAAUAGCAUGCUUCAGCAAAAUAUAUAAAAGAGAAACAUUGAAAUUGGCUUGUUAAUAGAACUCUACACAGUCUUCUGGUAUCUUGAACUUGUGGACCAUUGAAGUGUCACUUCUAGAGGUAGACCCCAUCACAGUCUUUAUUAUUCCAUUCUUCUAACAAAUGGAUAAAAGGAACUGAGGAUACUGUGCCAUCAAGCAUGUCAAUGUAUUUGGUUAAGCUAAUCUAUAAAUGUACUCAUUAAAUCUUGAUACAGGAAUACAGUUUUGCAUUCCCUACUGUUACACAUUAUAACUAUAAUGAUGAUAUUGAAAUACUGCUUUAAGGAAGCAGGUGAAGAACACCUGAGACAUUGAAUACAUCAAGAACCUCGGUUGUGUUACAAAAUAAUUCCAGAUCAAACCUACGAAGACCCAGGAAAGUCACAGAACUAUGGACAGAGUUUGUGAGGGUUCUAAGUGAGGGCAUGGGUUUGAUAGAACUCUAAACCCAGUAAGAUACUCAAAUGAUGAUAAAGUGAAGUAUUGCCAGAAAAAAAAAAUAGUGAACUGAUGUAAGAAGCACUGAGUUCAAGUUCUGGAUCCACCACAACCAGUCAUACAGAUCUCACUUUUCUGAAGUAUACAUGGAAGAUGCAGGAAAUUACUAUCUCUCUUUCUAGAAAAUACAACAUAAAAAUAAGGAUUUAGGGCUGAGUCUCAGACUUAAUUCUGUGUUUGAAAAUGUCUUUGCAUAUAAUGCAUUUGAAUAUUAUUUGCCUUAAAACUCAUCAUGGGAUAAAAUUACAAGAGUAAUCAGGAUCAGAAGUCAAAUGAGUAAUAAGGAUAGGAUCUUAUCUAUUCAGAGCUGACCAAUUAUUAUGCGAUGGGUGAUUUUUACCAUAGUUAAAACAUGAUAACAUUUUCUUGGCUUGGGCCAGUGUCUGUCUCAAACCAACCAACAGAUGGUCCCACUAUCUAAAUGAAGACACAAGCUUGCCCUGAAAGUUACCAUGUAAGCUUCAAUCUGGAGCUGGGCAGUACAUCUGUUCUGAUUGUUUGAUGUCUAUGGCAAGCUAAUCACUAAAUUUAAUAGCCUCUGUAUCCCUCUCUGAUUCCUUCGCUUACCAGCUUGGGCUCAGUCUUCUUGAAAACCAAGGAAACAGUGGUAUUUCCUUUCUCUCACACAUGCCCAUACAACUCUUAACACCCAUCUUCUCAGAGGAAAGGAAAAGAAAUAUAAUGAACUUGAAACUGAAUCUCCAGAAGCAAAGGUUUGUUUGGUUGUUUUCUGGUUUUGUUUUUUGUUUGUUUUGUUUUGUUGUGUUGUGUUGUGUUGUUCUGUGGUUUAAAUAGGCCAUAGGAAAUUCCUAUUUUAAAGCACCUAUUUAACAUGUAAGGGUAAGAUGCUAACAAAGUUCAAGUGCAAGUCCCAUUGCUAACUUGUUCUCCCAAUGCUAACUUGGUCUUUUAAACAACUGUCUGUGUCAAAUAAAUUAUUUAAACUUUA
Cricetulus griseus (Chinese hamster) is the source of this 4807-nucleotide non-coding RNA. The record is from RefSeq and is a predicted model, not a curated record. Lineage: Eukaryota; Metazoa; Chordata; Mammalia; Rodentia; Cricetidae.